Molecule: transfer RNA, 87 nt
Filed under: Colletotrichum phormii
Lineage: Eukaryota; Fungi; Ascomycota; Sordariomycetes; Glomerellales; Glomerellaceae
Description: tRNA-Pro
Rfam family: tRNA
About the family: Transfer RNA (tRNA) molecules are approximately 80 nucleotides in length. Their secondary structure includes four short double-helical elements and three loops (D, anti-codon, and T loops). Further hydrogen bonds mediate the characteristic L-shaped molecular structure. tRNAs have two regions of fundamental functional importance: the anti-codon, which is responsible for specific mRNA codon recognition, and the 3' end, to which the tRNAs corresponding amino acid is attached (by aminoacyl-tRNA synthetases). tRNAs cope with the degeneracy of the genetic code in two manners: having more than one tRNA (with a specific anti-codon) for a particular amino acid; and 'wobble' base-pairing, i.e. permitting non-standard base-pairing at the 3rd anti-codon position.
Source: RNAcentral
GCCCUGAUGGUCUAGCGGUAUGAUUCUCCCUUAGGGUCUACAAGUCACGUCUGGGAGAGGUCCCAGGUUCGAAUCCUGGUUAGGGCC